Molecule: ribosomal RNA, 253 nt
Filed under: uncultured bacterium
Lineage: Bacteria
Description: partial 16S ribosomal RNA
Rfam family: Bacterial small subunit ribosomal RNA
Source: RNAcentral
GACGUAGGGUGCGAGCGUUGUCCGGAUUUAUUGGGCGUAAAGAGCUCGUAGGCGGCUCGUCGCGUCGACCGUGAAAACCCGCGGCUUAACUGCGGGCUUGCGGUUGAUACGGGCGGGCUAGAGUUCGGUAGGGGAGACUGGAAUUCCUGGUGUAGCGGUGAAAUGCGUAGAUAUCUGGAGGAACACCGGUGGCGAAGGCGGCUUUCUGGGCCUUACCUGACGCUGAGACGCGAAAGCGUGGGGAGCGAACCGG